AUAAGAGGUGACUAGUGAAAUGUAAAUCACAGAAGUGUGAUUUUAUUUUAAUUUGAUUUAUUUCACCAGGUAGGCUAGUUGAGAACAAGUUCUCAUUUACAACAGCGACCUGGCCAAGAUAAAGCAUAGCAGUGUGAACAGACAACAGAGUUACACAUGGAAUAAAAGUCAAUGACACAGAAUUAUUAUUUUUUAUUAAAAAAAAAGAGUCUAUAUACAUUGUGUGUAAAGGCAUGAGGUAGGUGAAUAAUUACAAUUUAGCAGAUUAACACUGGAGUGAUAAAUGAUCAGAUGGUCAUGUGCAGGUAGAGAUACUGUUGUGCAAAAGAGCAGAAAAGUAAAUAAAUAAAAACAGUUUGGGGAUGAGGUAGGUAAAUUGGGUGGGCUAUUUACCGAUGGACUAUGUACAGCUGCAGCGAUCGGUUAGCUGCUCAGAUAGCAGAUGUUUGAAGUUGGUGAGGGAGAUAAAAGUCUCCAACUUCAGCGAUUUUUGCAAUUCGUUCCAGUCACAGGCAGCAGAGAACUGGAAGGAAAGGCGGCCAAAUGAGGUGUUGGCUUUAGGGAUGAUCAGUGAGAUACACCUGCUGGAGCGCGUGCUACGGAUGGGUGUUGCCAUCGUGACCAGUGAACUGAGAUAAGGCGGAGCUUUACCUAGCAUGGACUUGUAGAUGACCUGGAGCCAGUGGGUGAUGAAAGGGGACAUAAGAUAAAACACUUAUGUAAACACCAGUACGUACACCAGUAACAUGUGAAACAGGAAAUGAACUACCAUCCUGAAGUAUGACUAAAAAUAAAAAGCACAGCAGUUUUUUGGGGCGAGACAAACGGGAGACGUUCAUCAGUAGGAAUAAACACCAUCCAUGUUACCGUGACGUCGACGGGCUCAGUUCCAUCUCUUGGCUAUCAACCCCCCUCCCUCCCUCCAACACCUACAAGCAGAUGACAAAUACAAUGACAGCAAUUGUAAAACAUCCACCUGGGCUCCUUUGAGUUCAAAUGUUUACCCAAAAUACCUGAUUUCACACUGUCGUCUUGUUUUCUGACGAUUGGGCUAGGUGUUGCAUGUCUAGUGUGGGGGCUAGGUGUUGCAUGUCUAGUGUGGGGGCUAGGUGUUGCAUGUCUAGUGUGGGGGCUAGGUGUUGCAUGUCUAGUGUGGGGGCUAGGUGUUGCACACACACGUUCUGGACAUUGCAACAGUUCAUUCAUGCAUAGAUCAUCAGAAACACUACAAACAUACCACCAGCAUGUAUACAGGUUUCAGACCACCAGCAUGUAUACAGGUUUCAGACCACCAGCAUGUAUACAGGUUUCAGACCACCAGCAUGUAUACAGGUUUCAGACCACCAGCAUGUAUACAGGUUUCAUACCACCAGCAUGCAAUGCAACGGUCAUUGACAGCUGUAUAAGAUGCUUGGUUAGUAUAGCCAGAGUUGAUGUCUCAAGAGAUACAUUAGAUAGAGUUGUAGCUAUAAAUGAUCGUGUUAGGGUUAUAGAGAGGUAUAAUGUUAUAGCUACCUCAACCAUAAUGUUCUUCUCUGGGGAUUUUGUAGAGACAUUGCAUCUCUUCUUGGCACCCCUGCCUGUAGUUGGUGGGCUUUCUUCCCGUUGACGCUUCUUCUCGGGUACCUCAUUCACGGAAUCACAGUUAAAACACCUGGUCUUGGUAUCACUAACAAAAAAGCUGUUAGAAUUGUAAGUAUAUGCAUGUCCCUGUGUAAUUGUAAUGUGAUAUUGUACCCCCUAGCGCGAUUGUCCAUGGUUUGUAAUCUAUGUAUGCUUGUGUUCUCUCAUGUGCUUUAUGUAUUGAUUUGUUGUUAAUAAUAAAACAUUUAAAAUAAUAAAAAACCUGGUCUUGGUAUCAUCUCUUCCGGUCUCUACUGGGCCUUGUUGGGAAUUCAUAACUUCUUCGCCGGGAGUUCCAAACGCCGGUGUUUGCGUUGUAGCUUUCCAUGCAUGUAACACAUGCAUGGUCUUUUCAACCUUACUAAUGUUACGAAAACACUUCUGACAUCAUUGUCGAUGUAUCUUCGUGCAGUGUCAGGUUUAUGCCGAGGGAUGAUAACCUAGUCAGAAUGGUACAAUUCGACUUUGACACAAGGGAACGCACAUGUUGGAGCGCACCAAAUAUCCUUCGAUUUUGGUCGCAGAGACGGCAUCUAUCAAGAUGGUUUGCAGCUUUAGGCAUAGUUCAACAAAACAGUGGCGCAACUAAACUGUACCAUAACAAUGUCAACAAACUGAAAACGUCUCAUCCCGACGUUCUGGCUGCCAGUGUCGCGCCAAAAUCAC
This is a long non-coding RNA of Oncorhynchus tshawytscha (Chinook salmon), 2289 nucleotides long. NCBI's taxonomy places the organism in Eukaryota, Metazoa, Chordata, Actinopteri, Salmoniformes, Salmonidae. The record is from Ensembl.